Molecule: ribosomal RNA, 439 nt
Filed under: uncultured bacterium
Lineage: Bacteria
Description: partial 16S ribosomal RNA
Rfam family: Bacterial small subunit ribosomal RNA
Source: RNAcentral
CCUACGGGAGGCAGCAGUAGGGAAUAUUGCUCAAUGCGCGUAACCCUGAAGCAGCAACGCCGCGUGGAGGAUGAAGGCUUUAGGAUUGUAAACUCCUUUUGUUAGAGAAGAUUAUGACGAUAUCUAACGAAUAAGCACCGGUUAACUCCGUGCAAACAGCCGCGGUAGUACGGGGGGGGCAGGCGUUACUGGGAAUCACUGGGCGUAGAGAGUGAGUAGGCGGGGUACUAGGUCAGAGUUGAAAUCCAGUAGCUUAACUAAGGAACUGCAGUUGAAACUGUUACUCUGUAGUGUGGGAGAGGUAGGUGGAAUUCUGGGUGUGGGGGGAAAAUCGUUAGAGAUCAAGAGGAAUACUCAUUGCGAAGGCGACCUGCGGGAGCAUUACGGAGGCUGAUGGACGAAAGCGUGGGGAGCAAACAGGAUUAGAUACCCUGUAGUC